Molecule: unclassified non-coding RNA, 2246 nt
Filed under: Hevea brasiliensis (rubber tree)
Lineage: Eukaryota; Viridiplantae; Streptophyta; Magnoliopsida; Malpighiales; Euphorbiaceae
Source: RNAcentral
GCCUUUCCUUUCACCUUUUAUUUAUUAAUUUUAGAAUAUGUCUGAUCAGAUCUAAGCUUCUAUGAUUCGCUUUCUUUUUUGUUUAUAGAUUCAAUUGACCUUUUCUUACGUUCCUUCACUGAUUAGGCGUUUAUGGUUUGAAUUCCAUGCUUUUGAGCUGAGUAAUUGAAAAGCUUUUAAAAUCUGCGGUCCGUUGAUAUUAUUGUGAUGCAAUCCUAGGGUUAUUGAAGUGGAGUUAUAAUCAAGGAGCAAAAAUUCAAUAUAAGAGCGAAUCAUACUAAUUCAAUCAGUCAUAUCAAGCAAUAGGAUGUCAUUGUAGAGUGUUAACAUAGGCCUGCUAACUAAAGCUGUUAGUCCACGGACAUUUGUGGGUCUGAUUCAAUGAGGAUAGAAAUCAACUGUGGUCUAACGUGUAAUAAUCUAUCUAGAAAAGCUGCAAAUCCUUUGAAUGGAUUAGAGUAAAUGAGUUGCAAAUAUAUUAGAAUGCAGUAGAUUUGGAUCUGUGUUAAACACAUUCUUAGCUUUUCUAUCAGAAUCUAAAUAAGCUCUAAUACUUGCCUUUAAUCUCCUCACGUGUGUUACCAUUGUAAACAAUUAUAAUGCUUUGUAUUUAAGUGAUUGUGUCUUGGCAUGUGCAUUUUAUCUUUAUGCAGAGAAGUCUGAUAUUAUGAGUCUAAAUGAAAAAUUAUGAAUAUGAAACACUGAUUUAAAUUCUGAUCUGAAGCUACAUUCUAUUGGUUGCAACUUGCAAAGUAUUAUACUUCCAAGUUUAUUCAACUAUGAAUUGAAGCAUGAGGUCCCGUUGACCUGCUUGAGUUGUUUGCAUAUUUUAUAUGGGUAGUAAAAGCUACAGUUUUUGUUCUUUUGCUUGGAGGCCAUAUUGUGUAUACUGACUUUGUUUGUUAAUGAUGUGUGCUCUGUUUGAGAAAAUUUCACUGACACUGAAAUAAGCAUAGCAUUGUUAAACCUCAAUUUACACUCAAGUACAAGAAUCUUAUGCUCUGUACCUGUAAAGUGCAACUUUGCGGCUGCUUGAAGUAAGGUGCACAAACUAAAGAUGGGAAGGUUCAAGAAACUUAAAUAAACAGAGUAUUGAUUUUACCAUACAGAUGGUCUCAAACAAUUAGAGCAUUGUGUAACUGUGCAAAGUUCAUAGGUUCAAAUGAUGACUAUAGCAUACUGCUACUUAGAAUGAGCAUCCACAUUCAAGAGCCAUUAAUUUAGUGAUGUUGAUGUUUGACAAAUGAUAGAAAUGUGUUAAACAACGAAAAUUAUAUCAGUACAAGAAAAAGUUUGCUAUAGAAAUGUGUUAAAUUAUGAAAAUUAUAUCAAUACAAGAAAAAGUUUGCUUUGUGCUUUUAAAAAGGUUCUUUCUGUGCUUAAUCAGCUUCUUGUAUAAAGUGUUUCACUCUUGAAGACAAUGCUUGAAUUGAUGGGUUUAGGCAUGUAAAGACUGCCUCCAAAUUGCCGGGCCCAAGGUUGUACUUCAAAAUUGUGCUAGUGAUUUCAAUUAAGAGUGACAUGGUUUUCCUUUUGCUGGAUGUGUCUAUUGUAACGAUCAUUUGGAUUGCAUCUAAGAAACAUGGGAAAAUCUAGUGUCUUCAAGACUUUCUACUUGGUUUAAUGUAGCAGUUGAAUGGGGAACAAAUAUUUACAGUUUGGUGUACCAAAGGGAAAUUUGAAUUCAAAGUUGUUAGCUCUCACUAUGGCCCAUUAAUCCCAUUAAACCCCUUAGAAAAUGAUAAAUGAUCCAUUCUUUUGGCAACUUUUACGUUGUACUUGAGGGUGCACUGCUGGAGUGGGCCUGAAGGAAUUCUGUUGAUAAGGUUGAUUCAUGGCAAAAGAUGAAUUAAAAUUUGUUAAUAUAAAGAUCAUGAUUAGCUUCUGGUGCUCUUUUUGGAACCUGUAUUACUUCUAGUUUGUAUAUGAGCUUUUGCAUCUUUCUAUCUUGUGAGAAUAAAAUACGCUGCUAUGGCGUGGAAUUGGAUGCUGUAACUGAAUGAUCCUUGAUGUCCAGGCAACAGAUUAGAUUGAAUCCCACAGGGAAUAAAGUAGUGGCCUUAGUAGACUAGUAGACUUUCAUAUGCUUUUUUUUAAUUCUAGUUAUUCUGUUUUGUGUAUUCCCAGUUGAAUAUUAACUAUUGACAUCUAUUUAUGGUUUUGCCUGAGCAAUUGUUGUAUUACUUUUGUCCUAUAUGAUGUUUGUUCUGUGAAAUUUUCAGGACUGCUUAUGAUGUAAGUCUUGU